UACGUAGGGGGCUAGCGUUAUCCGGAAUUACUGGGCGUAAAGGGUGCGUAGGUGGUUUCUUAAGUCAGAGGUGAAAGGCUACGGCUCAACCGUAGUAAGCCUUUGAAACUGGGGAACUUGAGUGCAGGAGAGGAGAGAGGAAUUCCUAGUGUAGCGGUGAAAUGCGUAGAUAUUAGGAGGAACACCAGUUGCGAAGGCGGCUCUCUGGACUGUAACUGACACUGAGGCACGAAAGCGUGGGGAGCAAACAGG
This 252-nucleotide ribosomal RNA is filed under the name uncultured bacterium. Its description in RNAcentral is "partial 16S ribosomal RNA". It matches the Rfam family "Bacterial small subunit ribosomal RNA", at positions 524 to 776 of the family's 1533-position model. The record is from RNAcentral.